UUGAUAGUACAAUUGAAUUAA
Molecule: unclassified non-coding RNA, 21 nt
Filed under: Dictyostelium discoideum
Lineage: Eukaryota; Evosea; Eumycetozoa; Dictyosteliales; Dictyosteliaceae
Source: RNAcentral